AGUUUGAUCCUGGCUUAGGAUGAACGCUAGCGACAGGCUUAACACAUGCAAGUCGAGGGGCAGCACGGGAGUAGCAAUACUUGGUGGCGACCGGCGCACGGGUGAGUAACGCGUAUGCAACCUACCUAUCAGAGGGGAAUAACCCGGCGAAAGUCGGACUAAUACCGCAUAAAACAGGGGCACCGCAUGGUGAUAUUUGUUAAAGAAAUUCGCUGAUAGAUGGGCAUGCGUUCCAUUAGGUAGUUGGUGAGGUAACGGCUCACCAAGCCGACGAUGGAUAGGGGAACUGAGAGGUUGGUCCCCCACACUGGUACUGAGACACGGACCAGACUCCUACGGGAGGCAGCAGUGAGGAAUAUUGGUCAAUGGGCGGGAGCCUGAACCAGCCAAGUCGCGUGAAGGAAAAGAAGGAUCUAUGGUUCGUAAACUUCUUUUGCAGGGGAAUAAAGUGCAGGACGUGUCCUGUUUUGUAUGUACCCUGAGAAUAAGGAUCGGCUAACUCCGUGCCAGCAGCAGC
RNAcentral lists this ribosomal RNA (517 nucleotides) under uncultured bacterium. RNAcentral's name for it is "bacterial SSU rRNA". It matches the Rfam family "Bacterial small subunit ribosomal RNA", at positions 10 to 518 of the family's 1533-position model. The record is from RNAcentral.